Molecule: ribosomal RNA, 1833 nt
Filed under: Triticum aestivum (bread wheat)
Lineage: Eukaryota; Viridiplantae; Streptophyta; Magnoliopsida; Poales; Poaceae
Description: partial small subunit ribosomal RNA
Source: RNAcentral
CGUCUUAAACGGAGCAACAAAUAGUGUACACAUGUCAGAGCACUGGUCACUCGGGCCCGUUCACGGGCCCCACCGGCCCGCGACCGAGGCGGUGACGGGGAUCACCUCAUGAUCAUUAAAGGUGUUCCAAAUGUAAAGUUUUGUCGACAGCGGGGGUGUUCGGUAUGUAACUAGAGAUGAAAUUUAUUCGAAUCAUCGUCACCUAAUAAGCAACGUAAUAACCUUCGCUACACAUCGUCCUCCUCCAGGCAGCGGAUGAAGCGGGUGCCGUCGGUGGCCGACGAGGGUCGCCUGCGACUACUGCUGCCGCUCAAGUGCACGCUGCCGACAGACCAACGGCCGCGGCCCGGGGCCAUGGACACGCCGGUGGGGCCGACACCGAAGUUCGAGGUGCUCCAUACGCGCGCGUCGAAGGGGUCCUGCGAGUUCAGGUAGCAGGUGAGGGUCGUGUCCGACUUUGUCGCGCUCUCGCGGCGGCGGCGGUGGCGCCUGGUGCCGUGGCCGCCGCCGUUGCAGUCCACGCUCCACACGCCCCUCCUGCACUUCCCGCGCACGAUGCCGACGUCGUGGCCACGCACGCGGAGGCGCUGUCAGCAGCACGUGGGCGAGACGCAGGCGGACGGCGGGCACCGCGCCCCAGGCCGGCACCGCGUGGGGACGCCGGUGCUGCGCACCGAGCAGUUCUUCAGCCUACCGCCGCACCGCAGGUACACGCGCCGCAGCUGCACCGCACCUCCAUGGCCACGCCCUGCACGGCCCACCUGCACGUGGGCGCCACGAAGCACGGCGGACGCCUGGUCACGGCGCCGCCGCUCCGCAGCCGGUAGAGGUACCCCUUCGCGACGACGGAACACAAACCCGUCCUGAACUGCUCGACGGAGUUGUAGUCGAUGAUGAUGGCACCACGACCCAUCAUGAUAUCAGUUUCUUUUUUGUUGGUACAAAGUUUGUUUUUGUCGUACUACAACGAUCUGAGGAGAUAAGGUGCAAUGAUGUAUAUCGUUUACCGUACCGUAAAGAUUAUUCUUGUUAGGCCAGUACGUUUACCUUCUUCUUCCAUGGUACAGAGAAAGAUAAAAGGACUUGACCUUGAUCGCCGGCGAAGGCGAGCGUCAGAGCGGUAGUGACGUUGCUGUUGUUGGAGCGGCUCCUGCGCGCGUCUUCGUAGUUAGGAGGCCCGCGUCGCCUCUGGUGUCGGUGCUUUGCGGCCCGGCUCCCGGGAGCCGGACCGAGAGGCGUCGCGUCGGCGUAGUGCGCCACCUCCACCGGGGCGCGGGCCGUCGGGCCGGAGGCGCGGCACGGGGGCGCGAGGAGGGCACCGACGCGACGCGAGCCGACGGAGGGCCGGUGGCGCGGCUCAGGGUGCGGGCCGGCACGCGGCGCGAUGCGACCGGCGGGACGCCGGGCCGGAGGCGGGCCGGUGCGCGGGAGAACGUGCGUCGGUUCUGGCGGGCUGACACCGGCGGCGGGAGGUUGGCGGCCGCAGCACAUCCUACACCCCCUAGCUCGCCCCACCACGCCCGAAGCCCAGAGGCUGGGAAUAGGCAUUGGCAGCGGAUGAGAGAGAGAGAAUACGCCACACCGCCGCCCACCCGACCGGUUUCCGGCACCUCCGGGUUCGGGUCCGCGGACCGCACUGGAGGCCGGCGGAAGAGACCCGACCUAAAGUAGCUAAAAAAGAGAGAAACAAAAUAGUUGUCUUGAUUAACGACAUAAAAGACAACUCAAAUUUUAAGGUCUUUAUACAGAUAUAACUAUGAACUGUACAAGUUACACAAAUGGUGUAUAGUCUAAGAGAUCUUGUACAAAAGGCGCUAACUCUAAUUUAAAAGA